Gallus gallus (chicken) is the source of this 11133-nucleotide long non-coding RNA. RefSeq lists it as uncharacterized. NCBI's taxonomy places the organism in Eukaryota, Metazoa, Chordata, Aves, Galliformes, Phasianidae. The record is from RefSeq and is a predicted model, not a curated record. The transcript has 2 exons.
GGGUUCUGGGUAGGCGAGAAACAGCAAUUGAGAAAAUGCUGAAGACACAGUCUGGGCUGUGCUUCCUUAGUCUUUCCUCUGUUCCACUCCACUGAUGCAAAUCUGACUUCCUUCUCCAUGUGGAGGAGAUCCCAGGGUUGUCCCUCCUUCUCUGCCCAUCGCUAGAAAUGCUUCAUAGUUCCUCAGCAGUUAUCAGCCUGGCACAAUUUUAUUCCUGUUACAAAUGUCCAAGUUUUACAACUGCUGCCAUCCAGCCAGAUGUUCUGCUCUUUUGAGACACACUUAGGAGAGCAGCUGGUACUGUACAUUUAACAAAAAACUAGCUGGGCAUUGCUUUAUUAGAAGUCCACCCCCUAGAUAAACAAGGCUCUGUACCAGAGCAGCUUGUCUUGCUGGGAAACAUGACUUGUCCUUUUAAAAAUACUGCAGAAUUUUAAAACCAGUUGUGAGGAAGACAGUAAAGACUUCCAGUGAAACUCUGAAGUUGUGCAUAAAUUGCUGACUGGGAGGAGGCACUCAGCAGCAUCCAAUGCGUGAUGACGUAGUCUUAAUACAGCACUUUGUGGAAAGGUAAGAAUGACAGCAGGAAUUAAAUCAUAAGCCUGUACUGCUCAUGAUGGUUACAUCGCUAGCUGAGCUUCCUGGCAGACAGCUCCUGUGACGUAGGUAGGCAAGGCACAAGUCUUGUUAGGCACUUCUGUGCACCCCUCGUGCUGGUGGUUGUGUUGGAGGUGGAAGAUUCAGCCCAGGUCUGAUUAUGUUCGAUCUGUCACUGAAUAACUCUGGCUUCCUAAUUAUUUCUUACAUCUUGCUUUAAAGCAUUGGUCUGUACUUCAGAUGUGAUUCAUUUUCGACAUGAUUCAGAUAGAGUUUCCCCUUAGAAGCAUCUGUUAAUGGCUACAAGAAGGGUGAUGUCCAGGCACUGGGUAGGAUCUCUGGAAAAGCAGAUUUAGAACUCUGCUCAGCUCCUGUGACCACAGUCAGAAAUAAUUUAAUGUGAGUAAGUGAAACAGAUGAUGAGAGGAAAGGCUGUUCAGACAGUAUGCUCCCUGGGUGAAUGAAAGUCACUGCUGAGGCAAAGUGAUGGAGGAGUUGCUUGUUCACCAAGCACGUCAGUUUAGCACUGCAUGGUCUGGUGGCAUCUCAUUUUGAAUAAAACCUUGGUGGGGAAACCAUAGGAGGUGGCCAAGGGCUUGCUCUGGAGCAGGUUAUCCUGGAUCAGCUUGGGACAGUGGCUCUUUGCUCCUGCUUGCCUUUGUGCUCAGCAGCACUUGGUGCAGGAAGGCUGGCAGCAUGUGCACCUUUUGCAAGUUCUCUGCACUCCAGGCAAGAAAACUACAUGAGGUGUAUGAAAAUGAGGGAGAGAAGAGAAACCAUGAUGAAAUGUUUUUGAUAAAAGAAUGGUGUAGAGGGAAAAUUUAGUGAAUGCAGUUAGGGAGGUGACAUCUGAAGGAUUUUCUUAUGGAAAGGACAUGGAAAUUUGUUUGGUGCCUCUUUCCAUUUUGCCAUUGCAUGGGAGAAAAAAAAAAAACAAGUGAACAAAUUUAUCUUCUGCCAUGGAUGCACACAAGAACAGUUUGCCUGUUGCUAUUUGUCUCAGCAUCUCCAUGUGCAAAACAAAACAGCCUCCUCUUUACUGUCAACACAGAGUACUGGUUAGGAUCUGCUAUAUUAAAUGUGCAGAUUCCUUUUUAAGUAUGAUGUUAAAAUACAUCUGUUAAGUGUACUUUAGACUGGAAAGGUCAUCCUCCAUGUUGCAUUCUGGUUGCAGAACAAAACCUGUGAAUGGCAGUUUUUCCAGGUAGCAAUUAUUGCAAACAUUGUUACCGUCAUCUUAGAAAGGACUGUAUUGUAAUGCAGUAUUUCUUGAUCCUGCCCUUGGCUCCCCCAUCCCAAACUCUCUGUAUUGCAUUGGAAAGGGUCCAUUUGCUUCAGUUCCUGCCUCCCUUCUUACAGAUCACAACUUGGAGACAUUUGCUAGUUUCUGAAUGGAAAUUACAAAGGGACAACCCAAGACUAAAUUCUGUAAUAAGCUUAGUAAGCACCAUGCACGUAGUGCAUGCUUUUCUUCAAUUAGAUCAAGGUAGUAGAUAAUACAUCACAUCUUUUGGGUUUAAAUUUUGCUUCUGGUCUUGUGUAGUACAGCAACAGGACACCCAUCUUACUCCACAGUAGCAGAUAUUGUAUAGUAGUAUUACAACACAGGUGCUACAGACUCUCUCCUGGGGCAAAACAGAAGCUAGAAGUCCUCAUGACAAGAUGAAAAAUUAGGUGUAGAAUGCUAGAAAGCAGAGUACAGAAGGAACAGAAGUACAGAAGUUCCUUCUGUACUCCUUGACUGUAGGGGAAGGAGGAAAAACUCAAGCUAGCCCUCCUAGCCAUCACAGGGUUAAGGAAAUCUGCAAUUCAACCAAAGUACAUCUGCCAUGUUUUCCAGUCUUGUCUGUCUAAUAAAGUCUCAUUUCAUGCCAUGUCUUUCACAAGCUUAAUGAAUAACUAGUUUGCCUCUGGUAAUGUUACAGUUUUUACUGUAGUUUGUAGGAAGAGUACCAAGUUCCUCCUUGUUCUGUGUUCCCUCUCCUCAAAAGUAUAUUCAACCCUUCAGAUAACGAAGAAUCAAUCUUCUUACUCCUUUGACAUACCAGCAGAGAAAGAAGGCCAUGCAACAGGCUCUCCUGGUUUUACUCUGUGGUUAUACAAUAACUGCAGCAUUAAGAAAAAGUAAGUGUUUGAGUGUUUGCCAGUGCUUGCAACAUGCGCAUGUCUUUACAAAUACUAACAUCACUAGAAAGUAAAUAAUAUUAUUGGGAAUCUGUAAGAUACAUAAUUUGUUGUCGUUGUUCCCAUACUGCUGGGAGCCUGUCCUGAAGUCAAUGAGCCUGUUCUCAAGUCGCGUACCAGAAACAGGCAUGAAAGUCACAUAGGCAAUCCCACCACAGCUUCUCACAGUAUAGAAUCAUAGACACAUGAGUUAGACUUGCCAGAUCACACUCAUGCCAGUGCAGCACCAUCUUACUGAUCUUUGAUUUGUUUUGCCAUUCAUUUGUUCUUUUAAGAAAAUGCACAGAAGUGAAGCUUAUCUUCUAGGAGCUGUUCGUUACUUCAGAUCUCCUUACAAACUUCUCACAUCUAACUUCCAGUAUUAACUCUCAUGUUAGCUUUUUUAGUUUUAUGGCCUUUAUUCACCUACUGACCUCUCUUCUUUUGUUCAUAUUCUGCAAUUCUCAAUAAUUAACAGCUUUCAUAAAUAAGACUAUAGGACAAGUCUCUCAUUCUGAGCCUGAAGUUACACAGUGUGUCCCUACAAGUUUUACAGGCAUAUUUUAUGAAAAGAAAAUUAAGUUUCAUCUGACUAUUGUUCUGAUACCAAUGCCAUUGUUAUAACAUUCAAGGCUGCGGCAACUUGCAUCUGUGCAGCUGUAUAUACUACAAACAAGCACUGGAGAUGAUGCACUUCAUGUGACCUUGCAAAGCAGUGCCAGGCACUGAGUAGAUGGUUUUUAUAGGAAUGAACCUUGAGACAUCUGCAGUAGUUCAGAGAGAUCCAGCAGUACUUAAGGAAGCAGGUUGAUGUGGUCAUGCUCUGCAACUAUUCCAACAGUUUUCAGCCUGCUGGUCACCUGUAGCUGAGCUUGACAGAGUCCAGAGACAAUAAAGAAUAAGUAUGGUGGAUGAUGAUGAGAAAAGGGGUAUUCUCAAUUCUUCCCCUUUUUCAGACAACAGGGCAAAAUCUUCAUCAGGAGUACUCAGGCAAGGGGGAAAGAAGUAGUGUAAGUUCACACUGUUCCAAAGUCAGCCUAAGUUUUUAAUAAAAACCUCUAAGUAGUCCAAGUUUUUGUAACUUUAGAAACUAUACUUUUUUCACACUAGAAAUGCUAAUAUGCUGCAACUUAUUCCCUGAUACCUAGAUAGGUACCAAAUUUUAACACAAAGUGCCAGGAUAUCCACUUAGCUAUGCUGUAUGUUUCAGUUUGAGAACACAGAAAGUUUUGGACCAGUUUACUGUUGUUGCAGUUAAGGAGGAUUGUAGUUUAUAAUCUUUUACGAGAGAUGUCAAAGCAGCAACUUCUAACCAGCAGCAGCAUUGUCUGCAAGCAGCACUGCACGUGGGUUGCAUUUAUCACAGGUAACAACUAUGAAGUAAUAUGGUAGGGUUUAAUAUUAAAUUCAACACAUGAUUAACUUCUAUCCAACAGUAAAUUUGUGUAAUAGUUAAGCCAAAACACUAUGCCUGUUUAUCAUUAAUGCUGAUAACCACUUCCUCAUUCUGUGAAGGAGAAGCCCUGGGGAGGCUGACAGGUGGAACUGGAAGUAUUGCAGGCUGAAGCCCCACUACUGGGGCAGUCUGCAGGGAAGCUUUCACAUCAGGAGUAUUGUAAAUGCAAAAUGUUGCAUGCUGACCCUCCAAAACUUGAAGCAAUGCUCUCUUCAAUGAGAUAUGUCUGAGCUUGGAUGUAGCGAUCCUGAUGACUGCAGUAAUAUAUAAUGCUUAUGUGUGAAGAUGUGACAACAUAAGGAUUAUUGUUUCUCAUUUUUCACUCAUCUUUAUGCCUUGAAGUUAGAUGAAGGAGUUGGAGGAAGUCAAGAUAUAGCAUUUACAAUUGAAAAAUGGGGACAACCUUCUGUGAUAAGUGUCUGCAGAUGACCAGUUGGGCUGUGCAAGCCAGGCAUUAGCUGUCAGCAAUCUGCACGUGCCAAAAGCAAUAGAAUCAGAUACUGGGCCCUUGUGCAGAGCUGACCCAUGAGCCACCAAGGAAUACAAAACCUGUACAGCUAUACUGUAAAGAUCACCUUCAUUUUCUCUGCAUAGUAUUUUUGGAAGUAAAAAGACACUUUCUCUCCCUCUCGAGCAGAUGCAGAGAUUUGCAUCAUGCUUCUCUUUUCCAAAUCACUUUUGUUUUCUUCUUCCUGAGCACUUGUCCAUUAUUAAUAUGGCUGACUUCCAUAAGGUCAGAGUCCAUCUCUUUCCCAACAAGCACUGAGUCAGUACUAAUACAUGAUGACAACCAUAAAAUGUAAUUUAUAGUGAGUUCUUAAUUAUCUAUGAUCAUAGCAUGGAGUGAGAACAGUAAUAUGAGAAAAGCAAACAAACAGUCAGCCAUUGUAGAUAAAAGGGAAAAGAGAAUAAAGAAAGAGCACAAAGUUAUGUGACCACACAGGAUGUGGAUUCAUCCUUUAGAGUACAAUGGGAACAGAAUCAAAAGCAUCAAAUGCUUUUUGAUUCUGUUCCCUCUCAGCUCCUUGGGUUCUUCACUGUGAAUGGCUUUGACUGUACAAUACUGCUUAUCAGCAACUCCAAAUAUCGGACUGUUAUCAACAUUGUUUUUCUCAUAGAACCAAAACAUAGCAGACACUCUGAAGAAAACAGUCCAGUCCCACCUGAAACAAAGACACACAUGCACUACUUCCAGUUGUCCAGGAGGAGCCAACAGAUUGCCACAAAGAGGGCAGGGGUACUGGUAUAGAUGUACAGCAGUGCAUAAACAUGACUUCUCUCUCCAAAGUCAGCACAUGGUGAAAAAGCAGUGCAAGCACUUUGGUACAGCAUUCAGCUGUAGAUAAUAAUUCUGCCCAAUCCAACCAGCUCCACUAUCUGCAUUCCGUAAUCUCAGAGCAACAGAAAACUCUAGUGGGGAAGACGAAAAAACAGCACUUCCAUUGGUGCAGCAGUGUGGAUGGAAGAACAGUGGCUGAGACCCAGAUAGACUUCAGCAAGGGCAAUAGAAUUUCUCACUGAUUUGUUAGUACAUUUUGGCAGACACCAGAUCUAGACAUGGGCAGGAGAUGGAGCUGUUCAGAACCACAGAGGUGGAGUUUUAAGGGAGCAGCAGUGCCCAUAUCUAUGAGAAGCUAGUAGUAGCAAGAGAAAGAAAUUAUUUUCAUCUUUUAUUUGAAUGCAGCAAGUAUAGCCAAAGUUAGCACACAACUCAAUAUGAUGUUAUUAGCAGGUCUGUUAAAAGAGGGUGUAGGAGAACUGUUAUGUCACAACCUGAACUGAUUAUUGAGCACCUGAUGAAGAGAGUGGCUGGCCCAGGAAGCACAGGUGCAAGAGAUUCACCCGUGCUUCCCACGUGACUGGAAUGGGUGGACCCAGGGUCUCCCUGGGCUCAUUUAAGGGUGAGCCUCGGAAGGGAGAAUGUCUCCUGGAUGAAGGCCAUCUCUUGAAAAGGAGUGCUUUAUGGCUGGAGAACCUAUCACUAGGCAGGUGAGUCAACUUUUUCCUCUGUAUGUGAUUACUGAUAUUCCUAAUGAUGCUUUGCAUAGUAGCACAAAGAACUUAUCAGAAAUAAUUUUACUGAUUCCAAGGACUAAUUUUAGGGAAGAAAAAAACAACCUGGCAGUUAUGAUGCUGAUGUCCUGACUACAUUCUAUUGCUGUGAGCCUGUGGCAGGUCAAAUAGGAGACACUAGGCAUGGGAUGUUGGCUCUGCUUUACACUGGGGCCAAUACUUGUACCAGAAAUAAGCAAGUCAGUUUGCUGACAUCAUAGUAUUUUGGUUUUCAGUAGCUUAGCUUGUGAAUGUACUUGCAAAGAGCACAGUACAUUUAAAGUGGUACUGAAUUCAACCAAACAUGUACUAGGGAACCGGUAAGACAUAUGUAGAAGAUGGCAUGACAAAAAAUUCUGCUUUCUCUGUCCCCUUCAGUAUGUAAACUGAUAAGAAAUCUUUCUGACCCAGCUUGUUAAUAAGAGUUUUUACAUUUCCAUUAUGCAAGAGGGCCUUAACCUUCUGUCACCCAUGAAUUCCUAGGUGGCUUUGUACUGCUAGGUUCAAGGUUGCUGGGUCACCCAGUGGUGUUCACCAGAUGCAAAGUACUGCGUGGUGCUGAUAAAUGAAACAGUGUCAGCACUACAGCUACAACAGCUGUGAUCUAUUUGUACUUGUUUAGUAGUUGAUUAGAAGUUAAAGGGUAGAGGACAGCUAAAAGAGUGUUCCCAACUUCCUCACACAAACUCAUGCAACAUAAACUACGCUGAAACUUUCAGUUGCAUUUAACACAUUGUCAGCAGAAGAUCAGGAGAGCCUACAACACUGACUUUAUACCCAUGUGAUUUAUAUUACAUGUGAUCCCCAAAGGGAAUUGGCAUGAGAACUUGCACAUCGGUGGCAGUGCUGUGCCCACAUACUGCAGUAUAAAAGGGAAACAGGCUCCUUGUUUCUUUGCCAGAAGCAUAUACAAUUCAGAGCUUUGAUAUACUGAGACAUGUACCUUUCAUGUUUUAGUAGGUACAGUUCAUCAGACUUUUCCUAAGUAUGCAGUUUAAAUAGGCAAUAUGAGAGUCAGCUGUAAGAAAUACUAAUCUCUAAAUAAAUGAGAAACUUUCCUCUUGGCUGAAAACUAUUAUUUCUAAACUAGCUAAAUGCAAAAACAAAAUGGAUUCAGGCAUUUUCAUUUUGAGCUCCCUCACUCCACUGCUGAUAAAUUAAUAUCUUAGUCCUCCUACAGAAUGAAGUAUAUAUGAAACACCUGUGUCAUCUCCCUACCAAAUAACUUGCUGAAGAGUCAAGUAUAUAACCAUGCUUGAGUGUUAGAUCUUAUUUGGUUGUUCCUAUCCUACUAUGAGCAACACUGAUUGAGCCUUCAUCCAUGGCAGAAAAACAAUGCUUCUCUAAGGAUCCCGAUACAUUUUUCUGACCAACCUGAAGUAAUUUUAUUAAGUUUAGAUCCAACCCACAGCACAAACAAGGUCUCAUUCUUUCCAUUCCACAAUAUAUUACUCAUUGCUUGCAUUUGGAAGACUGUUUGCAGAUGAAGUGACCGCUCACUGUAUGCUUAUGGUGUUGCUCAGAUGUUGGUAAUAAUUCUGAUUUCUUUUUUUCUCUCAAGUUAAGAAAAACCCACAAAACUCAAUGCUUCAACACUAUGAUGAUCUUGCAUGGGAACUAUAUGUGCUUUAAUCUAGCAGACACUUACUUCCAACGAAGUAGACAUCUUAAUUCUACCAGAAGUCAGUAUUCUCUCUACUUUCUACCCAGUAUCUCCCUCUAAUAUCACUUGUGUAACUAUCCAGCAAGGCUAUGCAGAUGUAAGACUUUCCAUCAGGUUAGUUUUCAGCCAGUUAUUUCCCUGAUAGAGUCCACCACAGCACUACGCAAAUCUCAGUUCUGGUACAUGACAGCAACAGGAUUUUCACCAACAGGAGGGUGAGAGGGAAGCAAUGAAAUAAUUUAAUUAACUGAAAAAUGCAGGUAAAGUUAACAUGAGUUCAAGACUAACACUGAAGUAUCAGCUUGGAAAAGAGAGUUCCUUAACAUUUUAAGCAGCAGCUAGUACCUACGCAGUGCAAGCUAGAGUUUUAGGGGUAGAUACUACAAAGACAAAAAGUACUAUCUCUCCCCUGUGCAAAAUGUCAGUCUAUUUGCUGGCAUAAUUGUGACAGUUAGGAACUGUAUCCCUUGUAGACUCAUCUAUUGCAACAGGCUUACUGUUAGCUAGCUUAUAGCCAGUGCAGUUGCAGUACACAGCAGAACUGCUUGAUGGAUAACCAUCUACCUCAGAGACAAAUCCUGGGUUAUACCUGCUGGGGCUGCUGUCUAGGAAUCAGUGUAACUGCUGCAAGCAGAAAGCUUGAAAGACUGGAACUUGAAACUCAUGUUUGAGUGAUUAAAAAUGUCUCUGUCAUCACCAACGAAGUCAUGGACACACUGGGGCUGCUAACGAUCAAACCAGGACAUGAAACUCAGCUAGCCUAUAGAAACAUGCUGGAACACCAGUGUAAGAAAAUACCACUUCUGUAAAAGGAAACUGCCUGAUGUGCUUGUCAGUCUCCCUGUACUUUUUUUCCUAAUAGAUGACUCUUAAUUUGCAUUUCAAUCAAGUAGCCAUACCUCAGGGAGACCAACAUUUCCAGAAGCUACAACCUAAACAGAAAACAAUCAAGCUUUAGUGCUUAACUACUAAAUCAUUAACCUACAGGGAGGAAAGUACUUCCUUUAUCAGCAAAGAAUGCUUCUGACCCUAAAGCAAUGCUAUAUACAGAAAUGUAAAUUACAUGGAUAUUUCUAGGUAUAUAUUAAGAUUCAAGAGGAGCACUCCACCGAACAGACACCAGACCUUUGGUGAGGACACUAGGUACUGGGGGAUUUUUUGACCUUCCUGCUUUGAGCAAUACAGUCUCAGUGAUUUAUACCAACAGCAUAUGGAAUAGCAUGAUAAUUUCAAUGACUUUUGGCAACAUUUCAGCACUCAUGACCCUUCUGCCCUGUCAGAUGCAGGUUGUUCUGCCCAGCUUUUCUCAAUCUCCAUUUCCAGUGCCACAGCAGCACCAGAAAAGUGGGAGCAAAUGCUCCUGCUAAAAGCUCACCCAGAGUUCCCAUAACCAAAAGGAUCGGCAGCACAACAGCCAGAGGCUUUAUUUUAUAUAACUACAUCAUUUGCCUCUCAUUACUGCAGAGAAAAAUAAUUAUUUUUCCAGAUAUAAUUUAACAUGGAGCAGGAUAUUCUGCCAUCAUAACUAUGCCGGAAAUGUUUUUCUAAUUUAGAGUAAUCCUACAUUAAUCCAUGGGAGUGCGGAGGAGCAGCACCUGAUUACCACAGCCCCAGCCUCUUCCUUCAUGAAAAGGAAACUUAAAAACUUCAUCCUACUGAUUAGCUGGAAGGAAAAACCAAGCAAAAUCUCCUUUACUGAUUAAGUGUUGAAGCAUAUUUAAGAAAUAUGCAACUAUAUUCUGUACCAGUUCUGAGUUACUGGUUGUUCAGAAAACCCUAAACUUCCCAAGUCCCUGAAACAAAAGUAAAAGCCUCCCCAACCCCACGUGCUUAUAUGCAUGUUUAUAUGAAAAUCCAGACAGUGGGGCUCUAUUAGCAGCAGGAGGGCUUUCUGAUGUUCUCCAGUGAACGCUCACUUGCACCCUCCUAUUUAUUUUACUGUGCUACUAAAAAUUGCAUUUAGGAGAAGCCCCAACCAGCUUGCCCUGCGUUGAAUUGAGUAAAUUGGAGUAAUGCAGCAAACUGAGCUGGAAGUGGAAAUUGUGAACAUAGUUUAAAAGAAACUCAUGAGAAUCAUAUAGAUCACAUAUCAUCAUAUAGGAGCGGUUCAUACGUUGUCAUAUAGGAGAAGGGAUGAAAUGCUACAGAUGAAAAAGGGGAUUCCCCAUGGCCUUCCAACAUGUACAUGGGGUGUCCGUGCAGAAGCAGCUGCGAACUGAAGGAAGCAUAGCCACAGGCAUAGUACCCGCAUAGCCCAGCCCAGCCCACAGCACUGUGAGCUCGUGCAGAGCAGCCCCCCGACGUACCCAGGAUCUCCUUCCUGCGCUGCGUGUGGGGCUGCUCGGUAUAGACCCACUCGAAGUCCCCGCGAGUGACACGAUUCCCCAUGGCUCCAGCACUGUACCCCGCUCUAAGCCGCGCUCAUUUAUAGCUCCGCGAAGGGGCGGUGCCGGGUGCUCGGAGGCGGCCCGAGAGGUGUGCGGGGAGGGAGGAUGGCUGCAGGGCACGGGGGUGCAGCGGAACCUGCAGCUGCCAUCACCUUCCGAGGUGCCCUCGGGGGCAGCAGCACCGCAGUCCGUAGGCACGCGCUUCGAGGAAAGGCUUUGGGUAAGCGAGGGGAAUCCAGAUCCUGUAAAGCUAGCGCCUCAGCCUGAAGUGGGAUGCGAUUUAGGGCAUGAGAGCUCCUCCCAGCUCGUAGAACCUGCAAUGACGCAAAGGUGACCAACACCUGGUGCACAUCUCCUUGGUGCUCUGGUGAGAGCUGCCCCAGCAGCAUCCAGCCCUCGGCUGGGUCAUGCUCCUGGGAGCGCGGUAUGGGGAAUCGUGCUCUGCCCUUGGCAGUGAAGUCAGGCAAAAGGCUUUCUAAGCUUCAGACUCCUCUCCAGCCUCUGAUUCACAGGGAGAGGUCACCUGUGUUACAAAGGGAUGUUUCUCCACACAGAGCUCCAAAUUAAAGCACUGCUUUUGUUCCCGUUGCAACCUUGUACAAGUCUGUACCUGAGCCACUGUCUGCCCUCCACACUCACUGUUCCUUGAUGUGCACCUUCCACUGACCACAUCCUGCCGGGAGCAGCUCCACAACCCAGAGACAAUCUUAUGCCCUUAUGUUCCUGAUCCUAAAGGAUCUCUCCAACUCCCUCCUUACUCUUAUCCUUAGCAGUGCCUAUCACUGUGUUGCAAGUAGCAAAAAAAACCAAACAAA